Molecule: long non-coding RNA, 492 nt
Organism: Cebus imitator (Panamanian white-faced capuchin)
Lineage: Eukaryota; Metazoa; Chordata; Mammalia; Primates; Cebidae
Exons: 3
Source: RefSeq, a predicted model, not a curated record
UCAGUACUCGGGACUUGGUUACAUGAGCCCCGCCCUGUACUGAAGAAAAGGGGAGCACAGGCCUGUAAUGGACAUUGACCUUGAUUUGUGAGACUCAAACAAGAAAAUGCCUGGAGAGCCCUGGAUUAAAAGAGUGAUGUGGGACGAGCAGAGGCUGGCACCCCGGUGACUGCCACAUAAUAAAGUGACGAUUUGGAGCAUCUUUUUCCAGUACACACAGAAAAACACUGUCUAAUGGAAGUCGCUUUCUUGGCCACCUACACGGUCUUGUGGGCAGCACCAAGCAGGGAGGUGUUUCCAGUGGUGCCAGGACAAGCCCCUGCACAGGCGCACAUACUCACAUGUUACUGCUGGAAGUUUUCAGUCCCAAGCUGAAGGGAAGGAGCCCUCGUUGGCAGUGUUAGGGAGGAAUAUACAUCUGAGAAGUUUGGGGAAGAUGUCGCCUGGCAAGGCCAGAGUAAUUUUAGCCUUCCUCUAACCAAAUCACUGGGA